RNAcentral lists this non-coding RNA (81 nucleotides) under Legionella shakespearei DSM 23087. Its description in RNAcentral is "Legionella RNA 69". It matches the Rfam family "Legionella RNA 69". The record is from Rfam by way of RNAcentral. Lineage: Bacteria; Pseudomonadati; Pseudomonadota; Gammaproteobacteria; Legionellales; Legionellaceae.
AGACAGCGCUAUCGCGCUUCCACAGCCCGAACGGCAUCGAAGUAACGACUGAAUAAAACAAUCUUGUUACUAUAACUCACG